Molecule: long non-coding RNA, 1710 nt
Organism: Pieris napi
Lineage: Eukaryota; Metazoa; Arthropoda; Insecta; Lepidoptera; Pieridae
Exons: 3
Source: RefSeq, a predicted model, not a curated record
AAGAGGGUGCAGCCGUGAGAAGGCGAGAUUUCGAUAUUUUAGUGACUUUUGACAUGCUACUUUUCACAUAAUCGAAGCUUAUUAAAUAAAGAAAUGUACAAUUAUGUAAACAUAAAGUCUUAUAGAAGUGUACUGCAAAGGAAAAUUUUGGUAUUUAAUAGUACAUCUUUGUUUAAUUUGUCAUUUCUUAAAAGCAAAAUUUCAAAAGCGCUCGUCAGAGCUCACUUUGAGAUAUGAAAUUACCAUUAAGCUAUGUAAAUACAUUUUUUUAAAUAUUUUCGUAGGACAGAAUAUAUAGUCUAUUGGUGAACCACAGCGGAAAAUAUUAAAAAUUAUAUAUUUUAAUAAUUACGCACCCAUUUUUAUAAAUGACUUAUUAUACGAUUUUGGAAACAGCUUUUUAUGAGAAAAGCCCGAUUUUAUUCGUUAAAACUAUUUUGUAUCGAUUAACUGAGGAUGAAUAAAUAAUAAAAGUAAAUUUACAUAAUUAUUAUACGACGAUAGUUAUUACAAACUAUUAUUGAAAAUGGCCUAUAUAAUUACGCGCACGGGCGAAUGUGAUUUAGUACGCGCCGGGUCAUCCCAGAGGGUGGACGUAUCGCUCAUUUCCCGCGCGUCUAAAAGUUGAUUGACCUUACGUACGACCGAGGUUCAAAAGGAGUAUAGUGCGUCAUUGGAUUUGAUACUUUAGCAUGGGUAACAAACGCAAAAAAUAUAGUUGCAGUAGAAAUGCGAAGUCUGCAGCGAACGCCUGGCAAUCAAAAAGGAGAAAGAUUAACGAGGAAAAAAACCAACGUACUCAUGAAUCUCCUGACAAUAACGACUCCUGUGUUGAUUCAAAAAAUAAUAAUCGUGACAAUGUAAGUAUUUACUAUCAGCUAGUAUAAUUAGCUAUUCAUACUUAAAUUUAAAUCAGUAUAUAUUUAGCAGUCAUCUGGGUAAAUUAAUCAGUAAAUUAGAGGCUUUUACUAAACCCCGGUUUCCAAUUAAAUCAUUGUCUAAUAACCAGCCAAGUAAUUGAGCGCAAUAUUAAACCAGAUGGCUGAAUGUCGUGUAGUCAUUUAUAUUAAAUCAGAUACCUAUUUAUGGAUUUGUGAUGUUUGGGUAAGGUGACCAAGUAAGUUGUACGCAAUGUAACUUGGAGGUAUCUCCAAGUUUUUUCCUACUAUUUUAUUAUUAUUUAAAAUAAAAUGUUAAUCCAGUUCUUUAUUUUUUUUAAUAGGAAUUAUUUGAUGCACUCAUAUCGGAUCUGGAAAAAAUAGAUGAGAAAAAACAAAAUAUACAUUUAGAAGAAACGGCAAAUAUUGAAGAGUUUGAAUUGGUAUAUAACGUUGGUCACUAUAUCACGUAGUCACGCUAUCUGCCAUGCGUAAUUCAAUUAUUAAUCUUGAUUACUGAUUUCAGGAAGUGGAGCCACAAAAACAUAUCAUUCCUCCAUAUCAAAUUAUAGGAAGAAGGAUUGUUGAUUUCAUGUAUUUCUUUGAUCAAAUCAAAAUCGUAGCUAACCAUAAUCCUGGACUCGGUUGUUCAAUAAGUAAUGUUGAAAUUGUCAAAGAAAUACUUAAUGGCUUAGAAUCGACAAUCCACUUCAAAUGUACAAUGUGUAACAAGAAAUUUAAUGUCACACUAUGCAAUAAUAAUUUUCCAAAAGAGAUGACCACAAACCAUGCUGCAGUGACUGUUUGUAAAUAAUAAAAUCUAAAAAUGUAA